CCGUCGCUGCCCGGGACUGAGCCAUUUCGAGAAAUUUGGGGACCGUUGAUUUAAUUUUUCUAAAUUACUUUGAUGGAAACCAAUUUAAUCGCAGUGGCUUGAACCGGGCAAAAGUCGUAACAAGGUAGCUGUAGGUGAACCUGCUGCUGGAUCAUUACUUUAUGUGAUGUUCAAAUUUGAAUUCGCAACAAAAAUAUACUGUUGUGAAACGGCUGUCGCUGGUGUCUAGGUGUUGCUGAUACAGUUGUUAACGUCCGUGGCUGUAUAUGUGGUGACAUGUUAGGACUCUUUAAUGAGUUUAAGACUUAAUGAGCCUCUUAAGUGAGGACGCCAGCACUCUUUUUUUCUCUAUAUUUUUUAAAAAAACGAAAAUUUCUAGCCUUAUCGGUGGAUCACUCGGCUCGUGGAUCGAUGAAGAACGCAGCAAACUGCGAUAAUUUGUGCGAACUGCAGAAACCUUGAGCACAAAAGUUUUGAACGCAUAUUGCAGCAUUGGGGUCAAACCCUUUGCUACGUCUGGUUCAGGGUCAUUUUCUUUUAAAGCGAAAGCUUUAAUUUAUAUAUGCUAUUGAUGCUUUAUAUUUUAAGAGGUUUGUUGUUUGUCAUAAUUUUAUAAAUAUAACUUCAAAAAUCAAGCAACUUUGAC
Molecule: unclassified non-coding RNA, 646 nt
Filed under: Meloidogyne luci
Lineage: Eukaryota; Metazoa; Nematoda; Chromadorea; Rhabditida; Meloidogynidae
Description: sequence contains 18S rRNA gene, ITS1, 5.8S rRNA gene, ITS2 and 28S rRNA gene
Rfam family: Eukaryotic small subunit ribosomal RNA (bases 1-157)
Source: RNAcentral